Molecule: long non-coding RNA, 1726 nt
Organism: Lemur catta (Ring-tailed lemur)
Lineage: Eukaryota; Metazoa; Chordata; Mammalia; Primates; Lemuridae
Exons: 2
Source: RefSeq, a predicted model, not a curated record
CUGACCUCAAGCAAUCUUCCUGCCUUGGCCUCCCAGAGUGCUAGGAUUACGGACAUGAGCCACCGCACCCAGCCCCUUUAAUUGCUUGGACUUCAGCCCUGCGGACUCAGAAGUCUGAUUUUUCAGUGCUCUUAGAGCAGUACCACCAAAAGUGUGGUCCACAAGCCACUGCCACUCUUCAAGCCCUUUGUUACUGGUCGAUGACAAGGCAUUUACAGAAAGUAAAAGUAAUUUUUGAAGUGUUGCUGUAGAGGCAUACAGAUGAAGGGAGACAGAAGAACCAAACUCCCAGGCUUACGUAAAUCCAAAUUCCUUUUUCAUUUUAUAGUGAGAACUGUAAGGAUUAAGAGAAAAAUGGACAUCUACCCAUUUUCUCCUUCCACAUACACAUAGAAGGCCACAUGGAAAUCACCAAAUUUAGUAAUAGCUACCAUUUAUUAAAUGCUUUCUCUGUGUCAGCCACUGUGCAAAAGCCUGGUGUUUUUUUGUUGAUUUUGGUCUCGUUUAGUCCUCGCAACUCUAUAAAAUAGGUUUGUUUGUUUUUAUAGAGACAGGAUCUUGCUCUGCUGCCCAGGCUGGACUUAAAACUCCUGGCCUCAAGCAAUCCUCCCAAGAAGCUGGGAUUACAGGUGGGAGCCACCAUGCCCAGCUAAAAUAGUUAGCCCAUUUUUCCAGUGAGCAAACUGAGGCUAAAAGAGAUUAAAUAACUUGCCUAAAUUCAUCAAGCUCAUAAUGGUAGAGGCAGGAUUCUACACAGGUGUCUCAUUGCAAAAUGUUCCUAAUCACUUUUUAUUUUGCCAUUAUAUGCCCAGUAUCUAGCAAAUUUCCUGGCACAAAGAUUCAGUACACUGUUUUAGAUAGAAUGCAUAUAGUUGACUACAUUACCUCCCAGAAUGUUCAUUUGUGAAUUUUUGGGCCAGAGUAAGGGGAGUCAGGAGUACUCUAACAAUGCAUUCACUUCUACAAUAGAAAAUUUGUCUGCUUUGCUCCUAUCUAGAAUUUAUAAAGACUAUCACAAGUCAACAAGAAAUAGCCCAGUAGAAAAAUGGGUAAGAAACUUAAAACUGUCACUUCACAAAAGAGUGUGUCCUAGAUGGUCAGUAAAACAUAUAAAGGUACUCAACUUCUUUAAUCAUUAGGGAAAUGCAGAUUAAAACUUUAGUGAGAUACUGCUGCAUACCCAGCAGAAUGGCUAAAAUAGAAAACUCAGAAAAAUGUCAAAAUGGUCAAAAGUUGGAGUAGCUGACACUGUACACUGUUGGUGGAAAUAUGUAUUGGUAUGACCAUGUUGGAAAAUUGAAAGUUCAAAAAAAACAGGCCAAAACCAAACUAGAUUUAGGGAUAUAUGUUUAAGUAGUAAAACUAUGAAGAAAAGAAAAGAAAUAGCUUUGCAAGGGGUAGUGGUUGGAAGGGAACAAGAGGUGUUUGGGCCCCAAUAAGGUCUUCCUGAAAUUUGAUCCCCAGUGUUGGAAGUGGGGUCUGGUGUUUGUGUCAUGGAUGCAAAUCCCUCAUUAAUGGCUUGGUGCCAUCCUCAGGGGAGUGAGUUUUCACUCGUGGUUUGUGAAAAACUGGAUGUUGAAAAGAGCCUGGCACCCUUGUCUUCUUUCUCGCCUGCCUCCUCUCACCAUGUGAUCUCUGCAUGUGCCAGUUUCCCUUUCACCUUUUUGCCGUGAAUGGAAGCAGCCUGCAGAACUGAAAGCCAAAUAAACUAUUCUUUUUAAAUUAA